RNAcentral lists this ribosomal RNA (416 nucleotides) under uncultured bacterium. RNAcentral's name for it is "bacterial SSU rRNA". It matches the Rfam family "Bacterial small subunit ribosomal RNA", at positions 917 to 1333 of the family's 1533-position model. The record is from RNAcentral.
GGACCCGCACAAGCGGUGGAGCAUGUGGUUUAAUUCGAUGCAACGCGAAGAACCUUACCUGCCCUUGACAUACUCGGAACUUGUCAGAGAUGACUUGGUGCCUUCGGGAAUCGAGAUACAGGUGCUGCAUGGCUGUCGUCAGCUCGUGCCGUGAGGUGUCAGGUUAAGUCCUAUAACGAGCGCAACCCCUAUCGUUAGUUGCCAGCGGGUCAUGCCGGGAACUCUAGCGAAACUGCCGGUGCAAACCGUGAGGAAGGUGGGGAUGACGUCAAAUCAUCACGGCCCUUACGUCCUGGGCUACACACGUGCUACAAUGGCCGGUACAGAGAGCAGCCACUACGCGAGUAGGAGCGAAUCUAUAAAACCGGUCUCAGUUCGGAUCGCAGUCUGCAACUCGACUGCGUGAAGCUGGAAUC